GACGAACGCUGGCGGCGUGCUUAACACAUGCAAGUCGAACGAAGAGCGAUGGAAGCUUGCUUCUAUCGAUCUUAGUGGCGAACGGGUGGGUAACGCGUAAUCAACCUGCCCUUCAGAGGGGGACAACAGUUGGAAACGACUGCUAAUACCGCAUACGAUCUAAUCUCGGCAUCGAGGAUAGAUGAAAGGUGGCCUCUACAUGUAAGCUAUCACUGAAGGAGGGGAUUGCGUCUGAUUAGCUAGUUGGAGGGGUAACGGCCCACCAAGGCGAUGAUCAGUAGCCGGUCUGAGAGGAUGAACGGCCACAUUGGGACUGAGACACGGCCCAGACUCCUACGGGAGGCAGCAGUGGGGAAUCUUCCGCAAUGGACGAAAGUCUGACGGAGCAACGCCGCGUGAGUGAUGACGGCCUUCGGGUUGUAAAGCUCUGUUAAUCGGGACGAAAGGCCUUCUUGCGAAUAGUGAGAAGGAUUGACGGUACCCGGAAUA
This 489-nucleotide ribosomal RNA is filed under the name Veillonella parvula. Its description in RNAcentral is "bacterial SSU rRNA". It matches the Rfam family "Bacterial small subunit ribosomal RNA", at positions 28 to 486 of the family's 1533-position model. Lineage: Bacteria; Bacillati; Bacillota; Negativicutes; Veillonellales; Veillonellaceae. The record is from RNAcentral.